Rhincodon typus (whale shark) is the source of this 1428-nucleotide long non-coding RNA. RefSeq lists it as uncharacterized. The transcript has 5 exons. The record is from RefSeq and is a predicted model, not a curated record. NCBI's taxonomy places the organism in Eukaryota, Metazoa, Chordata, Chondrichthyes, Orectolobiformes, Rhincodontidae.
UUGUCUACGCUCCAAACUGCCGCCAGCAGCUACAGCAGCCACUCCAAGCCCUAAUGUGAAAUAAAUAGGUCUAAUAUUCAUUUAAAUUCAUACAAAUAAUAGGCAUUCAUAUAAUAAAGCUUAAUUUGAAGGGUGAUCACAAAAGAGAAUCUGGUGAAUGAAACGAAGAGCAUUAAAAGCAAUGUGUUCAUUGGAACACAAAUUGGAUGUUUGACUCGUGACUUUACAGGUCAAGAGGAGGCAGCGUGCAGACAAACUCAGAAUGGUGUCCUGCUCUGCAGUCGUUUGCAAAGGCAGUUGUUUCUGUUGCUGUCAAAGGAACUCCAAACUGGAACUCUCUUAAUUUCACCCUAACCUUGGUAUUUCACUUUGGUGUCUUAAUAACAAUCAAGCAUCUAGAUUUGAAUAUACUGUUGGCAAAGAUGAACUUGCAAUCACUGGCUUGAUGGAAACCAUCUCAAUCAUCUGAAGGCCCUGUGAAUAAAAUAUUUUUACUUGGAUGCUUUAAUUGUGAUAUAAAUAUGUAAGUGAAGUUUUACGUAGUUGUCAUGCUUGUAACAUUUUUGGUGAUGACAGGGAAAGUUGACAUAUCUGGAGAAACAAAAUGUGAUCUGUCCUAUUUACCUUGCUGGGUCUGACAAUUUAUGUAAUAUUGGUAAGCUGAUCUCCAUGAAAGAACAACUGAAACAAAAGCAAAAUGACGACUAUGAGGAACACAAUUUCCUGCCUAAAUAAAUCAAUUUCAGUUUUCCGUUCACUGUGAGAUGUAGCUGAUUCCUUCCUGGAAUUGUUAACUAAAUUAACCUUCAGUCUACUCUGGCAUAACAAUGUUUAUUUGACUAUAAAACAGGUUGCCAAUACAAGACCGAGUUCUACCAUUGAACCAAUGCAGGGGAGUACAAAAAAUACAUUUUGGAAAAGUGGCAAAAAUCUAUUAAAUGGGAGCAGUAUUUAGAAUUGUCCACUCUUGCAAUGGUUUUACAGCUUGAACUGCAGCCAAGGAAUGGUUGUUUUUAUGUCAAUCCUUGUUUUAGGAUAACUACCGCAAGCUUGUACUGCCUGCUGUUAAACAUCUGUUGAUGUAUUGACAAAUAAUAAUCAAGAUAUCUAUUAAUAUUCUUCUCUGUGAAAAUAUUUAGUAAUGUGUCCUAUUCUUCUGUAUGUGAAAAAUCUGCAAUUUUCAGAACAAUUAAAGUUCAGUCAGCCAUUUACUACAACACAACCAGAGGGAAGUUUUAAGAUGAGAGCAAAUUGCUCUUUGCACACUGGUCUCACCAUAUUAUCAUCGAACACACAAGGUUAAAAAGUCCAUGGAAACACAGUAAAAAUGAUUAUUGACUAUAAAAAUGACAUCAGGAGCAGAUUCAUGAGAAGCAUAAAUACUGAUAAGGCUAAAAUAGCUGGUUUCUGUGCUGUAAAUUUUGUAUA